CCACCGUCUGUAGCUAUGCACCGUCGACCCCACAGAUGAGCUCCAACAGCGGCUUCACGGUCAUGUACUCAUCAUCCAUUUACCUUUGUUUUGGUUGUGAGCUUGAUCUUGCAUCUACUGCCCAAUUGAUUUUCAGAUUUACAAGGAGCAGUUCCAUCAUAUCACUGAUGAGAUUAUUCUGUUUGGAUUAGGAAUUC
This is a long non-coding RNA of Zingiber officinale, 197 nucleotides long. RefSeq lists it as uncharacterized. NCBI's taxonomy places the organism in Eukaryota, Viridiplantae, Streptophyta, Magnoliopsida, Zingiberales, Zingiberaceae. The transcript is spliced from 3 exons. The record is from RefSeq and is a predicted model, not a curated record.